Molecule: ribosomal RNA, 236 nt
Filed under: uncultured Staphylococcus sp.
Lineage: Bacteria; Bacillati; Bacillota; Bacilli; Caryophanales; Staphylococcaceae
Description: partial 16S ribosomal RNA
Rfam family: Bacterial small subunit ribosomal RNA
Source: RNAcentral
GGGUGAGUAACACGUGGAUAACCUACCUAUAAUACUGGGAUGACUUCUGGAAACCGGAGCUAAUACCGGAUAAUAUAUUGAACCGCAUGGUUCAAUAGUGAAAGACGGUUUUGCUGUCACUUAUAGAUGGAUCCGCGCCGCAUUAGCUAGUUGGUAAGGUAACGGCUUACCAAGGCAACGAUGCGUAGCCGACCUGAGAGGGUGAUCGGCCACACUGGAACUGAGACACGGUCCAG